AAUUUGUGAAACAUGCUGAAGAGACAUAUUGAAACAUAUUACUAUCGCGUAUGAAACAAAGAG
Molecule: small nucleolar RNA, 63 nt
Filed under: Oryza sativa Indica Group (long-grained rice)
Lineage: Eukaryota; Viridiplantae; Streptophyta; Magnoliopsida; Poales; Poaceae
Description: box C/D snoRNA
Source: RNAcentral